AUUGAACGCUGGCGGCAUGCUUUACACAUGCAAGUCGAACGGCAGCGCGGGCUUCGGCCUGGCGGCGAGUGGCGAACGGGUGAGUAAUGCAUCGGAACGUGCCCAGUAGUGGGGGAUAGCCCGGCGAAAGCCGGAUUAAUACCGCAUACGACCUUAGGGUGAAAGCGGGGGACCGAAAGGCCUCGCGCUAUUGGAGCCGCCGAUGUCGGAUUAGCUAGUUGGUGGGGUAAAGGCUUACCAAGGCGACGAUCCGUAGCUGGUCUGAGAGGACGACCAGCCACACUGGGACUGAGACACGGCCCAGACUCCUACGGGAGGCAGCAGUGGGGAAUUUUGGACAAUGGGGGCAACCCUGAUCCAGCCAUGCCGCGUGCGGGAAGAAGGCCUUCGGGUUGUAAACCGCUUUUGUUGGGGAAGAAAUCCUCUGGGCUAAUACCCCGGGGGGAUGACGGUACCGGAAGAAUAAGCACCGGCUAACUACGUG
Molecule: ribosomal RNA, 484 nt
Filed under: uncultured bacterium
Lineage: Bacteria
Description: partial 16S ribosomal RNA
Rfam family: Bacterial small subunit ribosomal RNA
Source: RNAcentral